CGAAAGGGAAACAGCCCAGACCACCAGCUAAGGUCCCAAAAUAUAUGUUAAGUGGAAAAGGAUGUGGCGUUGCCCAGACAACUAGGAUGUUGGCUUAGAAGCAGCCAUCAUUUAAAGAGUGCGUAAUAGCUCACUAGUCGAGUGACACUGCGCCGAAAAUGUACCGGGGCUAAACAUAUUACCGAAGCUGUGGAUUGUCCUUUGGACAAUGGUAGGAGAGCGUUCUAAGGGCGUUGAAGCAUGAUCGUAAGGACAUGUGGAGCGCUUAGAAGUGAGAAUGCCGGUGUGAGUAGCGAAAGACGGGUGAGAAUCCCGUCCACCGAUUGACUAAGGUUUCCAGAGGAAGGCUCGUCCGCUCUGGGUUAGUCGGGUCCUAAGCUGAGGCCGACAGGCGUAGGCGAUGGAUAACAGGUUGAUAUUCCUGUACCACCUAUAAUCGUUUUAAUCGAUGGGGGGACGCAGUAGGAUAGGCGAAGCGUGCGAUUGGAUUGCACGUCUAAGCAGUAAGGCUGAGUAUUAGGCAAAUCCGGUACUCGUUAAGGCUGAGC
RNAcentral lists this ribosomal RNA (548 nucleotides) under Staphylococcus aureus. RNAcentral's name for it is "partial 23S ribosomal RNA". It matches the Rfam family "Bacterial large subunit ribosomal RNA", at positions 1012 to 1561 of the family's 2925-position model. The record is from RNAcentral. Lineage: Bacteria; Bacillati; Bacillota; Bacilli; Caryophanales; Staphylococcaceae.